RNAcentral lists this long non-coding RNA (2151 nucleotides) under Ficedula albicollis (Collared flycatcher). Its description in RNAcentral is "lncRNA (ENSFALG00000028307.1)". The record is from RNAcentral. Lineage: Eukaryota; Metazoa; Chordata; Aves; Passeriformes; Muscicapidae.
GGGGGGGGGGGGGGGGGGGGGGGGGGGGGGGGGGGGGGGGGGGGGGGGGGGGGGGGGGGGGGGGGGGGGGGCUUGUGGGAUGGCUGGGGGUGGCUGUAGGGUGGCUGUGGGGUGGCUGUAGGGUGGCUGGGUGUGUUUGUGGGAUGGCUGGGGGUGGAUGUAGGGUGACUGGGGGUGGCUGUAGGGUGGCUGGGGGUGGCUGUGGGGUGUGUCCCACCCCUCCACCUCCCUGGCAGUGCUGCCAGAGGAGCAGAGGGCCAAGCUGGAGCGGUGCCUCUGCAGAGCUCCCAGCUCAGCAUCAAUGAUUGAUGAUUUCCUGAAGGGUAUUAAUCAAGGCCUCCUGCAUCUUUCAUGGCCAUGGUGAGGGAGAGCUCGGCUCUGCUGCCCAGCAGGACCUGCUAUCCCCCAGAGGGCCCAGCCAAAGGAACCCCGAGCUCCUUACUGGCCACAGAAGCUGGGGUGUCUCCCAGAAAAGCUUUCCUGGGUGUCCAGGGUCACCUGCCCCCCUGCAGUGGCCCUGGCUCAGGAUUAGGCUCCCACACACCGGGAGGUUCACCCGAGGGUCACUAUCAGGACACAUCCGAGGGGAAAUUUGGGAUUUCCCCCUCAGCCAGGUUUCCUCCUGGCCCCUUCCCACAUCCCAUCUCUGCUACCGCCCCCCCAUCCCCUGCCCAGCUUCCCGCCCCAACUCCACAGGGUCCCACACCCCAGGCAAGCUCGGGUUCUGAUGGACACCUGGGACACUGGAUCUGCUGGGAUUACUGGGAUCUCUGCUGGGAUUAAUGGGACACUGGAUCUGCUGGGAUUACUGGCAUCUCAAAUGGGAUUACUGGGAUUAAUGGGACACUGGAUUUUGCUGGGACACCUGGGACACUGGAUUCUGCUAGGGUUACUGGGACUACUGGGACACUGGAUUCCUCUGGGAUUGCUGAGACACUGGAUUCUGCUGGGAUUACUGGGACACUGGAUUCCUCUGGGAUUGCUGGGACACUGAUUGUGCUGGGAUUACUGGGAUUACUGGGACACUGGAUUUUGCUGGGAGAUCUCUGCUGGGAUUACUGGGAUCACUGCUGGGAUUACUGGGACACUGGAUCUGCUGGGAUUACUGGGAUCUCUGCUGGGAUUACUGGGAUCUCUGCUGGGAUUACUGGGAUCUCUGCUGGGAUUACUGGGAUCUCUGCUGGGAUUACUGGGAUCUCUGAUGGGAUUAAUGGGACACUGGAUCUGCUGGGAUUACUGGCAUCUCAAAUGGGAUUACUGGGAUUAAUGGGACACUGGAUUUUGCUGGGACACCUGGGACACUGGAUUCUGCUAGGGUUACUGGGACUACUGGGACACUGGAUUCCUCUGGGAUUGCUGAGACACUGGAUUCUGCUGGGAUUACUGGGACACUGGGACUCAACUGGAUCUGCUGGGAUUACUGUGACACUGGAUUUUGCUGGGAUUUUUGGGACACUGGGACUCUGCUGGAAUUACUGGGACUCUGGAUUCUGCUGGGAUUACUGGGACACUGGAUUUUGCUGGGAUUGCUGGGACACUGGGACUCUGCUGGGAUUACUGGGACUCUGGAUUCUACUAGGGUUACUGGGAUACCGGGACACUGGAUUCCUCUGGGAUUGCUGGGACACUGGGACUCAACUGAGAUUAAUGGGACACUGAAUUUUGCUGGGACACCUGGGACAUUGGAUUCCUCUGGGAUUGCUGGGACACUGGAUCUGCUGGGAUUGCUGGGACACUGGAUCUGCUGGGAUUGCUGGUGUUUAUCCCUGGAAUGCUCCAGUGCUCCUGUUGACAAAGGGCUGAGGGGCAUGUGGGAAUACGACAGGGUUACCCCUCUCUCCUUCAUAAUGUGGUUGGGGCGCAGAUCUCCCCUCUCCCUGCUGCUGGAGGGGACAAAAUCCAUCAGAAAAGGAAAGAGCAGGUUGCAGCUGUGCCCUUCCUGGGACACUAGAUUCCUCUGGGAUUGCUGGGACACUGGGACUCAACUGAGAUUAAUGGGACAUUGAAUUUUGCUGGGACACCUGGGACAUUGGAUUCCUCUGGGAUUGCUGGGACACUGGAUCUGCUGGGAUUGCUGGGACACUGGAUCUGCUGGGAUUGCUGGGACACUGGAUCUGCUGGGAUUGCUGGGACACUGGAUCUGCUGGGAUU